UAGUCUCGCACAGAUGCAUAUCAAUAAGCGGAGGAAAAGAAACUAACAAGGAUUCCCCUAGUAACGGCGAGUGAAGCGGGAAGAGCUCAAAUUUGAAAUCUUAAAGGGCUUCCCUUUACGAAUUGUAGUUUAAAGAAGUGUUUUCUGUUGAGGUUUUGGUAAAAGUCCUUUGGAAUAGGACAUCAUAGAGGGUGAGAAUCCCGUAUUUGACCUUUACUUUCAACUUUGUGAUACACUUUCAAAGAGUCGGAUUGUUUGGGAAUGCAGUCCAAAAUGGGUGGUAAAUUUCAUCUAAAGCUAAAUAUUGGCGAGAGACCGAUAGCGAACAAGUACCGUGAGGGAAAGAUGAAAAGAACUUUGAAAAGAGAGUUAAACAGUACGUGAAAUUGUCAAAAGGGAAGCGUUUGACACCAGUGUUGUUUUUCUGAAAAUCAAUUAAAGAACUGUUUAUGCUAAGCUGUUUAGACUUUAUCAGCUAACUGUUUAGUUUUGAGCUUUUCUUUAAUGCACUUUUCAGUUAACAAGUCAACAUCAAUUUCUUUUGCUGUAAAAAAGCUUGAGGAAGGUGGCUUGAGAUUCGUCUUAAGUGUUUAUAGCCUCUUGCCUAUGCAGUCGGAGAGAUUGAGGUCUGCAGCGUAGAUCCUUCGGGGCUAAAUGCAUUUGUGCUAAGUUAUAGCAUUUUCAUAGACAACUUGUUGACUAUGAUUUGUCUUGUAGCUUACUCGCUUAUGUUAUUUUACCUACGCUUAGGAUGUUGAUCUGUAGUGCGUGCGC
Molecule: ribosomal RNA, 774 nt
Filed under: uncultured Neocallimastigales
Lineage: Eukaryota; Fungi; Neocallimastigomycota; Neocallimastigomycetes; Neocallimastigales
Description: partial large subunit ribosomal RNA
Rfam family: Eukaryotic large subunit ribosomal RNA
Source: RNAcentral